GACGAACGCUGGCGGCGUGCUUAACACAUGCAAGUCGAGCGGUAAGGCCCUUUCGGGGGUACACGAGCGGCGAACGGGUGAGUAACACGUGGGUGACCUGCCCUCAGCUCUGGGAUAAGCCUGGGAAACCGGGUCUAAUACUGGAUAUGACUCCAUGACGCAUGUUGUGGGGUGGAAAGCCUUGUGCGGCUGAGGAUGGGCCCGCGGCCUAUCAGCUUGUUGGUGGGGUGANGGCCUACCAAGGCGACGACGGGUAGCCGGCCUGAGAGGGCGACCGGCCACACUGGGACUGAGACACGGCCCAGACUCCUACGGGAGGCAGCAGUGGGGAAUCUUGCGCAAUGGGACAAAAAGCCUGACGCAGCGACGCCGCGUGAGGGAUGACGG
Molecule: ribosomal RNA, 387 nt
Filed under: uncultured bacterium
Lineage: Bacteria
Description: bacterial SSU rRNA
Rfam family: Bacterial small subunit ribosomal RNA
Source: RNAcentral